RNAcentral lists this non-coding RNA (223 nucleotides) under Streptomyces toyocaensis. RNAcentral's name for it is "Streptomyces sRNA 4677". It matches the Rfam family "Streptomyces sRNA 4677". From Rfam's summary of the family: Located in the intergenic region between anti-sigma factor SCO4677 gene and a putative regulatory protein gene SCO4676. scr4677 expression requires the SCO4677 activity and scr4677 sRNA itself seem to affect the levels of the SCO4676-associated transcripts. The record is from Rfam by way of RNAcentral. Lineage: Bacteria; Bacillati; Actinomycetota; Actinomycetes; Kitasatosporales; Streptomycetaceae.
GGGUCCGGUGGGCCACUGACCUCCCCAGAGAACCGGGAGAAAGAACUACCCGCCCACCCACCCUCCCGGCCGGAAGGCCCGCGUCACUCGUGCGGGUGACCGGCUUGCAGGCGCGGGACGCGGACGGCUACGUUCGCGGCAACCACCACAAACGAAUACGGCCCCCGGCCGGGAUUGCCGUCCCGAUCGAGGGCCUGACCGAUCAGGAAGAACACCCUUCCCA